Molecule: ribosomal RNA, 253 nt
Filed under: uncultured bacterium
Lineage: Bacteria
Description: partial 16S ribosomal RNA
Rfam family: Bacterial small subunit ribosomal RNA
Source: RNAcentral
AACGUAGGAGGCAAGCGUUAUCCGGAUUCACUGGGCGUAAAGCGCGUGCAGGCGGUUCGGUAAGUUGGAUGUGAAAUCUCCUGGCUCAACUGGGAGAGGACGUUCAAUACUGUCGGACUAGAGGAUGGUAGAGGGAGGUGGAAUUCCCGGUGUAGUGGUGAAAUGCGUAGAUAUCGGGAGGAACACCAGUGGCGAAGGCGGCCUCCUGGGCCAUUCCUGACGCUAAGACGCGAAGGCUAGGGUAGCGAACGGG